CGUCAGUGGCAGACGGGUGAGUAACGCGUGGGAACGUACCUUUUGGUUCGGAACAACUGAGGGAAACUUCAGCUAAUACCGGAUAAGCCCUUACGGGGAAAGAUUUAUCGCCGAAAGAUCGGCCCGCGUCUGAUUAGCUAGUUGGUGGGGUAAUGGCCCACCAAGGCGACGAUCAGUAGCUGGUCUGAGAGGAUGAUCAGCCACAUUGGGACUGAGACACGGCCCAAACUCCUACGGGAGGCAGCAGUGGGGAAUAUUGGACAAUGGGCGAAAGCCUGAUCCAGCCAUGCCGCGUGAGUGAUGAAGGCCCUAGGGUUGUAAAGCUCUUUUGUGCGGGAAGAUAAUGACGGUACCGCAAGAAUAAGCCCCGGCUAACUUCGUGCCAGCAGCCGCGGUAAUACGAAGGGGGCUAGCGUUGCUCGGAAUCACUGGGCGUAAAGGGUGCGUAGGCGGGUUUCUAAGUCAGAGGUGAAAGCCUGGAGCUCAACUCCAGAACUGCCUUUGAUACUGGAAGUCUUGAGUAUGGCAGAGGUGAGUGGAACUGCGAGUGUAGAGGUGAAAUUCGUAGAUAUUCGCAAGAACACCAGUGGCGAAGGCGGCUCACUGGGCCAUUACUGACGCUGAGGCACGAAAGCGUGGGGGAGCAAACAGGAUUAGAUACCCUGGUAGUCCACGCCGUAAACGAUGAAUGCCAGCCGUUAGUGGGUUUACUCAC
RNAcentral lists this ribosomal RNA (715 nucleotides) under Rhodopseudomonas sp. JA474. Its description in RNAcentral is "bacterial SSU rRNA". It matches the Rfam family "Bacterial small subunit ribosomal RNA", at positions 90 to 840 of the family's 1533-position model. Lineage: Bacteria; Pseudomonadati; Pseudomonadota; Alphaproteobacteria; Hyphomicrobiales; Nitrobacteraceae. The record is from RNAcentral.